GAUGAACGCUAGCGGCAGGCCUAACACAUGCAAGUCGAGGGGCAGCGCGGGUAGCAAUACCUGGCGGCGACCGGCGCACGGGUGAGUAACGCGUAUGCAACCUGCCCGCCACAGGGGGAUAGCCCGCCGAAAGGCGGAUUAAUACCCCAUCGCCCCACGUUCCGGCAUCGGGAUGUGGGUAAAGGAGCGAUCCGGUGGCGGAUGGGCAUGCGUGCCAUUAGCUAGUUGGCGGGGUAACGGCCCACCAAGGCGACGAUGGCUAGCUGGUCUGAGAGGAUGGCCAGCCACACUGGAACUGAGACACGGUCCAGACUCCUACGGGAGGCAGCAGUAAGGAAUAUUGGACAAUGGACGGAAGCCUGAUCCAGCCAUGCCGCGUGAAGGACGAAGGCGCUCAGCGUUGUAAACUUCUUUUGGAUGGGGAACAAUAACUCCGACUUGUCGGAACUUGAGGGUACCAUCAGAAUAAGCACCGGCUAACUCCGUGCCAGCAGCCG
RNAcentral lists this ribosomal RNA (497 nucleotides) under uncultured bacterium. RNAcentral's name for it is "bacterial SSU rRNA". It matches the Rfam family "Bacterial small subunit ribosomal RNA", at positions 28 to 517 of the family's 1533-position model. The record is from RNAcentral.